Long non-coding RNA from Mytilus californianus (California mussel), 628 nucleotides. RefSeq lists it as uncharacterized. Lineage: Eukaryota; Metazoa; Mollusca; Bivalvia; Mytilida; Mytilidae. The record is from RefSeq and is a predicted model, not a curated record. The transcript has 3 exons.
GAAGGAAGGAAAUAUGUACUUUUAAUGUCAGUUGAAUUUUGUUAUUGUAUUCUCAUCAAUCUGACACUACAUUUGGAAAUUUAGUUUGUCUGCCUAUCCAUACAAUGAUUUCAUCUUAAAAGCAGCAUUUUCUGUGUAGGAGUUGGAAAGAUCCUGUAGUUUAUAUACUUGGAACAAAUGAGUAAAUGGCUGAAGUUAGAUUAGAAGCAACAAGAAAUAUUUCCAAGUUCAUACUUCUGUGAGAGGAAAUUACAUCACUACACUUGUACUUAAUAAAGUUUGGAAAAUCCUUGAAAAUAAAAAGACAAUCAUCGCUCACCAUUACAAGGAUAAAAGACAAUCUAGACAACAAUACAGUACCAUCCAGAAACCUUUGCAAGGACAGAGAUAAUAUCUAGACAAUAAUACAGUACCAUCUAGAAACCAUUACAAGGAUAAAAGACUCAAGACAAUCAUACAGUACCAUCCAGAAACCAUUACAAGGAUAAAAGACAAUCUAGACAACAAUACAGUACCAUCCAGAAACUAUUACAAAGAUAAAAGACAAUCUAGACAACAAUACAGUACCAUCUAGAAACCAUUACAAGGAUAAAAGACUCAAGACAUUCAUACAGUACCAUCCAGAAAC